GAGGGUAUAGCUCAAGAGGUAGAGCACAUGCUUUGCACACCCAAGGUCCUGGGUUCAAUCCCCAGUACCUCCU
Molecule: transfer RNA, 73 nt
Organism: Camelus ferus (Wild Bactrian camel)
Lineage: Eukaryota; Metazoa; Chordata; Mammalia; Artiodactyla; Camelidae
Rfam family: tRNA
About the family: Transfer RNA (tRNA) molecules are approximately 80 nucleotides in length. Their secondary structure includes four short double-helical elements and three loops (D, anti-codon, and T loops). Further hydrogen bonds mediate the characteristic L-shaped molecular structure. tRNAs have two regions of fundamental functional importance: the anti-codon, which is responsible for specific mRNA codon recognition, and the 3' end, to which the tRNAs corresponding amino acid is attached (by aminoacyl-tRNA synthetases). tRNAs cope with the degeneracy of the genetic code in two manners: having more than one tRNA (with a specific anti-codon) for a particular amino acid; and 'wobble' base-pairing, i.e. permitting non-standard base-pairing at the 3rd anti-codon position.
Source: Rfam